This is a long non-coding RNA of Glycine soja, 203 nucleotides long. RefSeq lists it as uncharacterized. The record is from RefSeq and is a predicted model, not a curated record. The transcript has 2 exons. NCBI's taxonomy places the organism in Eukaryota, Viridiplantae, Streptophyta, Magnoliopsida, Fabales, Fabaceae.
GACAGUACACUGCCCACUUACCUUGUACUGAAAUUCAACAUUUUAUUAAAAGAACGAAGACAGCACGUUUGAACUCUAUUCAUGUUACAUUAGGAUGAUUGACUUUUGGAUGUAUAGGUCUUUACGCCUUUAUCUUAUUCUGCAAUGACUCUGUGAGAGAGGAAGAAUAAAAGGGAAUGGAAGUUUGGAAAAUUUUAGACUAG